Molecule: microRNA precursor, 95 nt
Filed under: Myotis lucifugus (little brown bat)
Lineage: Eukaryota; Metazoa; Chordata; Mammalia; Chiroptera; Vespertilionidae
Description: microRNA 216b (ENSMLUG00000017944.2)
Rfam family: mir-216 microRNA precursor family (bases 5-80)
Source: RNAcentral
UGGCAGACUGGAAAAUCUCUGCAGGCAAAUGUGAUGUCGCUAAAGAAAUCACACACUUACCUGUAGAGAUUCUACAGUCUGACAUCUUCAAGCAU